RNAcentral lists this long non-coding RNA (1648 nucleotides) under Cinara cedri. Lineage: Eukaryota; Metazoa; Arthropoda; Insecta; Hemiptera; Aphididae. The record is from RNAcentral.
AUUCGGUUCUCUGUCCCUAGACGCUUAUAUAAAAAUCUAAUUAAACGGGGAUUUAUUUUAUACAUUUUAUUUUAAACGUCUCACUACAUAUUUGUCGUAAAAUAACAAUUGGUAUGCAAUUUUGCUUCGUUCUUAUUAGGUUCACUGUUAUUAAUGGUGAUAUAUUGUACCAGUCCCCGUCUUCUAAUCGUCAUUCUACCCGACCGGUAAUCAUGUUGUCCGCACUGUUUAUUUUAUUAUUGUCACUUUUUGUAUGUACCGCGUAUACCUACGGUAGACACGAAAUAAUAUUGGACGGACGCUUUAUCGUUCGCCAUUUUGCGGUUUCUAUCGACUAACGGCCAUAUCGGUUGUCGACAUUUCGUUCUUUGUUAAUACUUGUGUCGUCAUUUUCGUCUUACGUAUUCAGUGUGUGGCCGAGUCAUUGAGGAAUGGGCCGAGUACGUUCAUUUUGUUGUCCUCCGUCUGUCUUAUUAUCCACGUGUUGAAUCAAGCCGCUUUUUUUCUGUUUCCAUCAAAUAUUUUGAUUGGAACUCUUUGUUCUUUUGGUAAGUAUUUGACAUUGUUAUUAUAUUAUUAAUAUAAUUGACUUGUGGUUAGUACAGCGGUCAUCGUACGUUAAUCGAUUAUUAUAAUAGGUACUCUUAUAGCCUUCUAACGACAUAUGCAUUUAAUUAAUAUACUAUAUUAUUUUUAUUUAUUUAUUUAUAUUUAAUUGUAUAGAUUUUUAUUCUUAUAAAACUCUAAUUUAGAUUGCUAUACGGAAAAAUAUAAAGGGUUGAGUUUCGUUCAUUCUGAAUAUGUGAGGAUAAUUUAAAUGUGUUACAAAAAUCUAUUGACCCAAACAUCAUUAUAUUUCAAGGUUAUAUGUACGGAAAAUGAAAUGCAUAUAAUAGGUAUGCUUGUACUUGAUAUAUUUAAUAUUUGUAUUACAAUUGUUGGAGGAGAUUGUAAAUAUUGUUAAAAAAAUACCUAUUUAUACCUUUGUGAAAAAAUAUUGUACUUUGUGUAAAUAUUAGCUACCUCGAUAAUUUCGCAUACAAACAAACUUGUAAUUGUAAAACAUUCUAAUUUAAUUUCUUUGCUGUCAUGUGAUUGAUACCUACAAAAUUGAACGAAUAUAAAAGCUGUCCAUUGGCUAUGUCGAGCAAUUUAAAUAAAACCAAGAUAAAGAUAUAUUACAGUACCUUUGGCUUGAAUUUCAGUUUGGUAGAUCGUAUACAAUAUUAGGUAUAAUUAAAAAAUAAAAAUAAUCACCGUUCAAUAAUACCUACCUCAAAUCUUACAUGUUGGAUUAUUUUUAAUUUAAAUUAUACCAAUUACCUACCUACCUAUUUGUGUCAUGUGUUAGUCCUGAAUGGAUUUAUUUUAAUUUGUUUUCUCCCUUGGUUAUGCUUCAAUUUAUUUACAACACAGGUUUGAUUAUUUUGCUACAUAUCAAUAGUGGUCAAAACGUGAUUUCGUUCAACUAUACCAAUGGUUGAGUUUGGAAAAUCCUGACGUAGUGUUUAAAAGAGGGCUUAAUAUAUCGCGACACGUGUGAUUUCACUUUUCAAAAAUAAGUUUAUGAAUACAGCUGGAAAAAUCAAAAGAUGAUUUCACUGAAUUACCACCACAGUCGGAUUUCCUUUCAGAAAAAGUGCUAAAU